Molecule: ribosomal RNA, 482 nt
Filed under: uncultured bacterium
Lineage: Bacteria
Description: partial 16S ribosomal RNA
Rfam family: Bacterial small subunit ribosomal RNA
Source: RNAcentral
AUUGAACGCUGGCGGCAUGCUCUACACAUGCAAGUCGAACGGUAACAGGCCGCAAGGUGCUGACGAGUGGCGAACGGGUGAGUAAUGCAUCGGAACGUGCCCAGUCGUGGGGGAUAACUACUCGAAAGAGUAGCUAAUACCGCAUACGAUCUAUGGAUGAAAGCGGGGGACCGUAAGGCCUCGCGCGAUUGGAGCGGCCGAUGUCAGAUUAGGUAGUUGGUGGGGUAAAGGCUCACCAAGCCAACGAUCUGUAGCUGGUCUGAGAGGACGACCAGCCACACUGGGACUGGGACACGGCCCAGACUCCUACGGGAGGCAGCAGUGGUGAAUUUUGGACAAUGGGCGCAAGCCUGAUCCAGCAAUGCCGCGUGCAGGAAGAAGGCCUUCGGGUUGUAAACUGCUUUUGUACGGAACGAAACGGCUCUGGUUAAUACCCGGGGCUAAUGACGGUACCGUAAGAAUAAGCACCGGCUAACUACGUG